RNAcentral lists this ribosomal RNA (413 nucleotides) under uncultured bacterium. RNAcentral's name for it is "bacterial SSU rRNA". It matches the Rfam family "Bacterial small subunit ribosomal RNA", at positions 945 to 1359 of the family's 1533-position model. The record is from RNAcentral.
AUUAAUUCGAUGCAACGCGAAGAACCUUACCUGGGUUUGACAUAUGCCGGAAAGCUGCAGAGAUGUAGUCCCCGCAAGGUCGGUAUACAGGUGGUGCAUGGCUGUCGUCAGCUCGUGUCGUGAGAUGUUGGGUUAAGUCCCGCAACGAGCGCAACCCUCGUUCUAUGUUGCCAGCACGUAAUGGUGGGGACUCAUAGGAGACUGCCGGGGUCAACUCGGAGGAAGGUGGGGAUGACGCCAAGUCAUCAUGCCCCUUAAGUCCAGGGCUUCACGCAUGCUACAAUGGCUGGUACAAAGGGCUGCGAUACCGCAAGGUGGAGCGAAUCCCAAAAAGCCAGUCUCAGUUCGGAUUGGGGUCUGCAACUCGACCCCAUGAAGUCGGAGUCGCUAGUAAUCGCAGAUCAGCAACGCUG